GUAUAGUUCUCAAGUGAAGAGAAUGCUUGUUCUUUCCUUUUCAUUAUUACCUUUUUUUCUGUCUUGUUUUCUUCCUC
RNAcentral lists this non-coding RNA (77 nucleotides) under Ctenophora environmental sample. The record is from RNAcentral. Lineage: Eukaryota; Metazoa; Ctenophora.